AAAGGGUGCGUAGGUGGCUGAUUAAGUCAGUGGUGAAAUACAGCCGCUUAACGGUUGAGGUGCCAUUGAUACUGAUCAGCUUGAAAUAAUUGGAGGCUGCCGGAAUGGAUGGUGUAGCGGUGAAAUGCAUAGAUAUCAUCCAGAACACCGAUUGCGAAGGCAGGUGGCUACGAUUUGUUUGACACUGAGGCACGAAAGCAUGGGGAGCAAACAGGAUUAGAUACCCUGGU
This 230-nucleotide ribosomal RNA is filed under the name uncultured bacterium. RNAcentral's name for it is "partial 16S ribosomal RNA". It matches the Rfam family "Bacterial small subunit ribosomal RNA", at positions 562 to 791 of the family's 1533-position model. The record is from RNAcentral.